UACGGGAGGCAGCAGUGGGGAAUAUUGCACAAUGGGCGCAAGCCUGAUGCAGCCAUGCCGCGUGUAUGAAAAAGGCCUUCGGGUUGUAAAGUACUUUCAGUCGUGAGGAAGGUGUUAAGGUUAAUAACCUUAGCAAUUGACGUUAGCGACAGAAGAAGCACCGGCUAACUCCGUGCCAGCAGCCGCGGUAAUACGGAGGGUGCGAGCGUUAAUCGGAAUUACUGGGCGUAAAGGGCACGCAGGCGGUUAAUUAAGUUGGAUGUGAAAUCCCCGGGCUUAACCUGGGAAUGGCAUUCAAGACUGGUUAGCUAGAGUCUUGUAGAGGGGGUAGAAUUCCAUGUGUAGCGGUGAAAUGCGUAGAGAUGUGGAGGAAUACCGGUGGCGAAGGCGGCCCCUGGACAAGACUGACGCUCAUGUGCGAAAGCGUGGGGAGCAAACG
This 439-nucleotide ribosomal RNA is filed under the name uncultured bacterium. RNAcentral's name for it is "bacterial SSU rRNA". It matches the Rfam family "Bacterial small subunit ribosomal RNA", at positions 340 to 774 of the family's 1533-position model. The record is from RNAcentral.